Molecule: long non-coding RNA, 1138 nt
Filed under: Lathyrus oleraceus (garden pea)
Lineage: Eukaryota; Viridiplantae; Streptophyta; Magnoliopsida; Fabales; Fabaceae
Description: Pisum sativum (pea) long non-coding RNA (PSAT_LNC028582)
Source: RNAcentral
UGAAAAUGUGUUUUGUCUGUUUUACCAGUGUGCUCUUUUUACUGCAGUGAAAAAGUGAAUGAGUGAAAUGUGGUUUGUUGUGUUAAUUGUUAUGGUUUGCAUUUUUGUUGUGAGUUGUGAUGUUUUAAUGAGAUGUUGCUCAUUGUUGUUAUGCAUUGUAGGAUAUUACAUUGAUAACUGGUGUGGUUUUGUGGAUUGCCUUGAUUGGCUUGGCAUGGCAUGUUGUGUGGUUUGCUCAUGAACUGCUUGAACUAAAUUGGGUGUUUGCAGGACUGAUGUAGCUUUGUUGUGCCAGUCUUCGAAUGUCGGGUUUGGAAUUGGUGUGAACUGCAAGAUAGUUGAUGCCUUCUUGAUGACCUGCUGCAGGUUGGACUUAUUGCUGAAGCUGCAGUGCAAGGUGUUUAGGAUGUUAUGGUUAUUGAUGCAGGUUGAGUUGCAUUGUUGCAAUCAGGAGAUGUUGCUCUUGAUGCAACCCUGUUAUGUGAUGUGUGAAUUUUUGUUGCAACUUGUUUUGUAUUGUAGGUUUUGAUGUGAUGCUCAUGGUGUUGAAUAUGGAGGUCUGAUGAUGCAUUGGUAUAGGCCUACUGCAUGUGGCUUAUGGUAUGCAUGUUAAAUUAUUGUGUUUAUGCUUUUCCCUACUCUAGCUUGUGUAUGAUGCAUGUUAUGGACUCAUGUCAUGUUGCAGGUUGUUAUCAUAUUGUUGCUGAAAGUUGGAAUUGUUUGUUGCAGCUUUGCUCAUAGACCCAUCUCAUGGUGCAUUGGCCUUGCUUGUUGCAACUUUGAUGAUGGAAUGAUAUUGUUUUGAUGGGCUGCAUUGACAUUGCUUAUGGUCCAUAGUGUGAUGGAAUGAGCCUGUUGGAGAUUGGACUUGCAUUGUUGUUUGUAACAUGUAGUAGAACUAAGGCCUUCGGUGCACAUGAUCAUGUAAAUUCCAUCAAACACCUUCAUUAAUUUAAUGCACCUUUCAUGGAUGAAUGUUAGUGAAUGUAUGAAAGAGUGUUGGAAUUUUAGGUUUUUAGAAAGAUGUGUAGACUUUGGUCAAAGUUGACCAAAAAGUCAAGUCUUGACUAAAGUUAACUUUGGUCAACAAUACAUUUUUUUUGUAAUUUCAUUUGUAAAGUGACAUGAUAAAUGAACA